UACGUAGGAUCCAAGCGUUGUCCGGAUUUACUGGGUGUAAAGGGUGCGCAGGCGGACUGGUAAGUCAGUGGUGAAAUCUCACAGCUCAACUGUGAAACUGCCUCUGGGACUGCCAGUCUUGAAUCAGCGAGAGAGUUGUGGAAUUCCGAGUGUAGCAGUGAAAUGUGUAGAUAUUCGGAAGAACACCAGUGGCGAAGGCAGCAACUUGGCGCUCGAUUGACGCUCAGGCACGAAAGCAUGGGGAUCAAACAGG
This 253-nucleotide ribosomal RNA is filed under the name uncultured bacterium. Its description in RNAcentral is "partial 16S ribosomal RNA". It matches the Rfam family "Bacterial small subunit ribosomal RNA", at positions 524 to 776 of the family's 1533-position model. The record is from RNAcentral.